GUGCUCACUCUGUCAGCACAUACACUAAAAUUGGAAUAAUACAGAGAAGAUCAGCAUAGCCGUUGCCCAAGAAUGACAGAUUCGUGAAGAGUUCCAUAUUAAA
This is a small nuclear RNA of Nycticebus coucang (slow loris), 103 nucleotides long. Lineage: Eukaryota; Metazoa; Chordata; Mammalia; Primates; Lorisidae. The record is from RefSeq and is a predicted model, not a curated record.